GAUGAACGCUAGCUACAGGCUUAACACAUGCAAGUCGAGGGGAAACGACAUCGAAAGCUUGCUUUUGAUGGGCGUCGACCGGCGCACGGGUGAGUAACGCGUAUCCAACCUGCCCACCACUUGGGGAUAACCUUGCGAAAGUAAGACUAAUACCCAAUGAUAUCGCUAGAAGACAUCUGAAAGAGAUUAAAGAUUUAUUGGUGAUGGAGGGGGAUGCGUCUGAUUAGCUUGUUGCCGGGGUAACGGCCAACCAAGGCGACGAUCAGUAGGGGUUCUGAGAGGAAGGUCCCCCACAUUGGAACUGAGACACGGUCCAAACUCCUACGGGAGGCAGCAGUGAGGAAUAUUGGUCAAUGGGCGAGAGCCUGAACCAGCCAAGUAGCGUGCAGGAUGACGGCCCUAUGGGUUGUAAACUGCUUUUAUAAGGGAAUAAAGUGAGCCUCGUGAGGCUUUUUGCAUGUACCUUAUGAAUAAGGACCGGCUAAUUCCGUGCCAGCCGCCGCCGUAA
RNAcentral lists this ribosomal RNA (508 nucleotides) under uncultured bacterium. RNAcentral's name for it is "partial 16S ribosomal RNA". It matches the Rfam family "Bacterial small subunit ribosomal RNA", at positions 28 to 523 of the family's 1533-position model. The record is from RNAcentral.